This 465-nucleotide ribosomal RNA is filed under the name uncultured bacterium. Its description in RNAcentral is "partial 16S ribosomal RNA". It matches the Rfam family "Bacterial small subunit ribosomal RNA", at positions 28 to 507 of the family's 1533-position model. The record is from RNAcentral.
GACGAACGCUGGCGGCGUGCUUAACACAUGCAAGUCGAACGGAAAGGCCCCUUUGGGGGUACUCGAGUGGCGAACGGGUGAGUAACACGUGAGUAACCUGCCCUUGACUUCGGGAUAACUUCAGGAAACUGGGGCUAAUACCGGAUAGGAAUCCUUGCUGCAUGGUGGGGGUUGGAAAGCUUCGGCGGUUUUGGAUGGACUCGCGGCUUAUCAGCUUGUUGGUGGGGGAGUGGCUUACCAAGGCUUUGACGGGUAGCCGGCCUGAGAGGGCGACCGGCCACAUUGGGACUGAGAUACGGCCCAGACUCCUACGGGAGGCAGCAGUGGGGAAUAUUGCACAAUGGGCGGAAGCCUGAUGCAGCAACGCCGCGUGCGGGAUGACGGCCUUCGGGUUGUAAACCGCUUUCAGCAGGGGCGAAGCUUGUGGUGACGUUACCUGCAGAAGAAGCACCGGCUAACUACGUG